Molecule: transfer RNA, 73 nt
Filed under: Staphylococcus aureus
Lineage: Bacteria; Bacillati; Bacillota; Bacilli; Caryophanales; Staphylococcaceae
Description: tRNA-Lys
Rfam family: tRNA
About the family: Transfer RNA (tRNA) molecules are approximately 80 nucleotides in length. Their secondary structure includes four short double-helical elements and three loops (D, anti-codon, and T loops). Further hydrogen bonds mediate the characteristic L-shaped molecular structure. tRNAs have two regions of fundamental functional importance: the anti-codon, which is responsible for specific mRNA codon recognition, and the 3' end, to which the tRNAs corresponding amino acid is attached (by aminoacyl-tRNA synthetases). tRNAs cope with the degeneracy of the genetic code in two manners: having more than one tRNA (with a specific anti-codon) for a particular amino acid; and 'wobble' base-pairing, i.e. permitting non-standard base-pairing at the 3rd anti-codon position.
Source: RNAcentral
GAGCCGUUAGCUCAGCUGGUAGAGCAUCUGACUUUUAAUCAGAGGGUCAGAGGUUCGAAUCCUCUAUGGCUCA